GGUGUGGUGAGUGAAAUGGAGAAGGCUAAACUUUUUCUUCCCACAUGCUCACUUCCUGGCUUGUUCGCUAGCUGCUGCAUCUGGCCCCUCAAGGGUAAAGUCAAGGGGAAAAGGAGAUUGAGAGGAAGGGCAGUCUGUGAAUUGGGUCUCACCGUGUUUCCCAGGCUGAAGUGCAGUGUUGUGAUAUCAGUUCAUUGCAACUUCUGUCUUGUGAGCUCAAGCAAUCCUCUUGCCUCAGCCUCUCGAGUAGCUGGGACUGACUACAGGCAUGAACCACCACACCUGACUAAUUUUUUUGUAUUUUUGUUGAAAAGACGGUUUCACCAUGUUGUAUGGAACUACUUCUCAAAUCACUAGUCACAUCCUGGUAGAAGUCAAGCAAUGAAGAUGGCACAGAAACAUAUCCCAAAUACUAUGAUACCAUAAAGUAUACUGUAGCAAUGCAUCUGGCACACCCUCAUUUGAACAUCUGUCUCAGAAGAUUUUGACAGAAGAUAAAACUGUCUAGCUUUUAUUUCAUUGGUUUCAUGAAAAUUUAUUUCACUGGUUUCAUGUCACAGGCCCGUGACUGUAUAAAGAGUCAUAAUCUUUACAAACACAACAAUGACUCACAGAGACAUGUUGCAAAGCUGUAAUCAAAAACACUGAUGUUAAUUUCAGAGGCCAUUAAUGGUGUUAAGAAGGAGCUUUUGUUAACCAAAUAAUUGAAUACUCCUAGUUACUUUUCAGUUCUAGUUCAGUUCUUGACACCAAAAUAAACCAUUUUCUUUACAUAGUGAAUGUAGAACUUGCCAAUAAGAACUUUCAAUACUAAACUUCUAUGUAAAACAAAACAUCUCAAAAUCAAUAAUACUUUAAUGGAAUGGUGAAGAAUUUACUUAAACACAAAGGAAUGAAAAUAUCUCUGCAAAUAUGUCUAUUGACUUUUCAAAUUUGGUGACCUCUUUCGAAUUAAUUCCCUUACCUCUGUUCCUCAUCCACAUAAAAAUGACAAAAAUGAAAGAUAAUUUUCCAGCCUAUAAUUAAAUUUCUCCAUUGUUGGU
Molecule: non-coding RNA, 1043 nt
Filed under: Pongo abelii (Sumatran orangutan)
Lineage: Eukaryota; Metazoa; Chordata; Mammalia; Primates; Hominidae
Source: RNAcentral